RNAcentral lists this long non-coding RNA (1387 nucleotides) under Gadus morhua (Atlantic cod). RNAcentral's name for it is "lncRNA (ENSGMOG00000031631.1)". The record is from RNAcentral. Lineage: Eukaryota; Metazoa; Chordata; Actinopteri; Gadiformes; Gadidae.
AGUAAGACCUAUGUGCAUAUUUUUCAGACUUGACAGAAUUUCAGGUGACGACUUCAGGAAAGCAGAGGAGUUCGUAAAAUUGAUGAAAAUCAUGUACCAGUCAACUGUUUGCAUCUCUUCCGGAAACAACGCCACACUAGGUCAAAUUAUUCCAAUCAUAAAAAAACUUCAAGAUCACUUCAGGGUCACAGCAGACGACUCUUUCUUCUCUAAUGCCAUAAAGGAAAAAGUCUGGGAUGACCUUUCCAAAAGAUACCAAGUAAGCAUCACUAUUUUAUUGAUUUGUUGAUUAUUUUCAUUCGGUAUACAGAAACCUCUACGUAUACUGUGGUGCGCCGCAGCAGUGGCAGCCGUUGCAGUAGCUCAUCUGUUACAUGUCCCUUGAAUUUCCCUCAGGAUUAAUGAAGUAUCUACCCUAUAUCAAUCUAUCUAUCUAUGUUCUUCUCUCACAGGGUGAGGGCAUUCAGGAGUUUUUGGAGGAGGGCACGGCUCUGGACCCUAGGUUCAAGGGAAAGGUAGAGGAUGCUGUGUGGUACAGACUGGAGGAGGAGUUAAUCGAUCGAGCCUCACACCAGAACAGAGGUGAAACUGCCCAGGCCCACCAGCAGGUGGACGAUGGGGACAGCUCAUGCGAUGAAGCCAGUUCAGCUGCAACAGAGAAACUGACAAAGCUGUCUGCGCUGGAGGAGUUGUUCAUGGAUGAGGACAUAGAGGUGGGAGAGCGGAAUUACCCAAUUGCGAGCCAAAGGGAUAAGGUGAAAGAAGAAAUCCGCCACUACAGAGGUUUGCCAUCAACUUUGUCAACUGUUGAUCCAGUGACCUGGUGGUGGGACAUGAGGGGCACCCUACCAGCACUAUCAAGCUUGGCUGCAAGGUACCUCUGUGUUCAGGCGUCAGCGACACCAUCAGAGCGCACCUUUUCAACAGCUGGCGACACAAUCAGCCAGGAGCGGGCCUGUCUGUUGCCAGACAAGGCAGACAUGCUGAUCUUUCUAAAAAAAAACUGUUGAGUGACUGUUGUCAUGCAAUUUGGACUCUUUGGACAUUUGUUUGCAUCAGUUUUUCUCUUUGUUAUUAUUAUUGCAUUGUUAUUUAUUCAUUCCUUAUUAUAACUGAGUGCCCUCGACUAGGCCCCCAUGCCUAGAUCUCUGUGUAUUUAUGUAUGUGUGUAUUUAUGCAUGUGCUCUCUCUCUCUCUCUCUCUCGCUCUCUCGCUCUCUCUCAGUUCUGAAAAAUAAAUUCUAUAAUUCCUAAUUUGUUUUUGUUGUGGAAAUUGAUUUUUAAAACAUCAGGUAUCGAAAAAAGUAUCGUAUCGAACCGGUAUCGAAACCAAGGUAUCGAAAUUAGCACCGUAUCGAAAUAUUUUGAACGAUACCCACCCCUAUCCC